Molecule: ribosomal RNA, 397 nt
Filed under: Adriamonas peritocrescens
Lineage: Eukaryota; Bigyra; Bicosoecida; Siluaniidae
Description: partial small subunit ribosomal RNA
Rfam family: Eukaryotic small subunit ribosomal RNA
Source: RNAcentral
GCUUGUCUCAAAGAUUAAGCCAUGCAUGUCUAAGUAUAAGCAAACUUGUACUGUGAAACUGCGAAUGGCUCAUUAUAUCAGUUAUAGUCUACUCGAUAGUACCUUACUACUUGGAUAACCGUAGUAAUUCUAGAGCUAAUACAUGCGUCAAGUCCUGACUGCGCGAGCGGAAAGGAUGUGUUUAUUAGAUACAACCAACCCUUCGGGUUCCUGGUGAGUCAUAAUAACCGAACGAACCGCAGGCUUCGGCGGCGGUGGUUCAUUCAAGUUUCUGCCCUAUCAGCUUUCGAUGGUAGGGUAUUGGCCUACCAUGGCGUUAACGGGUAACGGAGAAUUAGGGUUCGAUUCCGGAGAGGGAGCCUGAGAGAUGGCUACCACAUCCAAGGAAGGCAGCAGG